Molecule: long non-coding RNA, 5436 nt
Filed under: Gossypium barbadense (sea-island cotton)
Lineage: Eukaryota; Viridiplantae; Streptophyta; Magnoliopsida; Malvales; Malvaceae
Description: long non-coding RNA (GBAR_LNC014583)
Rfam family: MIR7502 microRNA precursor family (bases 487-631)
Source: RNAcentral
UCAUGGAGUACCUGCAAGACAAUGAACUCCUGAGAUCAAGAAAAAGCCCCGCAAGUUUAAUAGUUUAUCUAAAUAAGCCCUUAUUCUAUACUUAUAAAGAAACAGUGAAAUGCAUGAAAUCGGAAUAAUCGACAAUGACGAGGUAAUUAAUGAUGAAAUUGACAGAUAAAGAGCAAAUAUGCUUUCAAUCAUAUUCUUCUAGAUUUCCAAAAUCAGAAACUUGCAGCAGAACACUGUCGCCUGUGCUCGUAAAUUGUAAUGCAAGAUCAUUUCGUCUCAUAUUCAGCAAGUAUGCUAAAAAACACCAAAUAGAACAACAAAGGUUGGAAUCUUAGCGAUUAAAUCAUCUCCAAGAAACUCUUAUGCUACAUUGCAGUUAAAGACAGGGUUAAAGUUACAUGAAUCAGAUUGCAUUUUACCCUCUCUAUUAAAAAAUUGAGCAAAUUAGCCCUUGUGUGUUAUAUCAAAGAACAAAUAGAUCCUUUUUAUUAGAAAUUUCAUCCAUUUGUACUGUAAAAAACUAGCAUAGCUACUAGAAUAACCAGACAGUGACACAUGAUGCGACAUAUGUACCUCAUAUUGAUAUACAAGAACCAGUUUUUAACAGUAAAAACUGAUAGAAUUUUUAAUAGAAGAACGAAUUAGCUCUUUGAGCGAAUUUGCCCUUUUUGCCCAUUUUUUAAGUAAACGAGGCAAAAUGCAAUCCGAAUUCUAAUAUAAGGACUUUAAUGGUACUUUUACCUUAAAAACAGUAAUUGCGUGUCCCUUAAAGCAUGCCAUUUAGUUAAAAUCUUAAAUAAUGCAAUAAUUAUUCCUUAAGUUUCAUGAUCAUCUAUGACAAAAAACAUGUACAUAUUCACACACAUAUUUCCUUGGUAAACAACAAAAGGUAUGUUUCCAUCUAUCACGAAAACCGGACUAUGCUUUAGACUUAACCAAAAUAUCACGAAAGAUUUAGGCACAGAGCACAUAAAACAAACUAUUACCGCAUCAUUACAAGUAAGAACAUGAAUGAUAAAUUUUCAAUUACCAGAACUUAAACUCGGGUAGCCUACGAAUAAACGGCUUGAACUCGUCUGAACCUUUUGUUGGCAACAAAGGUCCAUCGGAACCUUCGAGUUCAGGAUCAACCAAAGGAGACAAAAACCCAAUUAGCAAAUUCAGUAGGUAAAUCCCUAGACCGUAUGCGACUAUGUAAAACCCUUGAACGUAAUAGACCCGCAAACAAUAGAUAGCUACUAUAACAAGGGUUCCGAUCCACCUAUAAGUCGAAUGAGGAGUCGACUUAUCUAGAUAAUACUGAUACAUCCUCCAAGCAUCAUGUCCCCAUUGAGGCAUCGGUGAUGCCACCGAUGCACCGUCCCCUCCGAUUCCUUCCAUCGGAUAUUAGCUUCAAAUCCUAUGUCAUAAGAAAAGAAUCAAAUCAAAGUAAGAAUCAAAUCAAAGUAAGCACAAAGAUCCAUUAAGUUCCCAAAAUAAACACCUAAAAACCCUAAUGCUAUGUUUGUUUACCAAGUACAUGCUUAAAAUCUCAUGAUUCAGAAAUUUGGAACUGAGAUUUUGAAAAAAAUACACAAAACCCACCAAAAGGAAAAUCAAACCCAUAUCACAAAAACCAAGAGUUACCCAAAAGAACAUGAGAUCCCAUAAUUUCCCUUCAACUUUCUCACUGAACAAACAAUAACCCAUUUUUUUUUCUUUGAAAGGAAACAAGUAAACCUCAAAAACCCAGAUCCAGAACAACCAAAAUCGUUGAAUUAAAAAAGGAAUCUAUCAUGAAUACUAAAAAAAAAAAUCGAAUGCUUGAGAAAAUAAAUUGGGAUCUUUAAGAAGAAUCAAUAUAAAACUAAAAAAUUGGUUUUAAAUAUAGUUUUUAAAAGAACUCAAACCUCAAAAGGAACCUCCGUUGUUCAGCUUUGGACUAAGAGGAAUAGUUUUUUCUGGUGACAAGAGAUGAAAGCAAGAGGCGAUAAACAAGCAGAUCUAUUCGGAGAUGGGCAUCUUUCAUUUCAAUUUUUUUAUAAAUAUUUUCUCUUUUUUUACCAUGUUUUUCCCCCUUGUUACAGCGUUGAUUUUUUAGUUUCACCGACAGUGAUGUAAACGGAACGGGAAACCGUACGCCUUUCUCGGCCUUUGUGUAUCUAUAUUAAAUGCUAGACUACAGUCAUCUAGUUAGUCAAGUUGUAAAAUUUUCUUUUUUAUUAUCGAUCAUACAAUUAUUAAUAAUAAAACUUAACAGCGUCAAAAAUUCUCAAAAUUCAAAAAAAAAAAAAACAAUUAAUCCCCUAUUUUUUCUACUCAUUGAGUACUUAAUUUGAAAAAAAUUAUCAAAAAAAUUUUUAUAAUUAAUUUUAAAAGUUAAUCAUUAAAACUAAUUACUCCUAGUUUUUUCAAUUAAAAUCACUCGUGUCACAAUCACAGCGGGAUAUGUAAUAAAAAAUUAUAAAAAAAUCAAUAAAAAUUAUUAAAUUUUAAUAAAAAUAUAAAAAUAUCUAAAUUUUAUUAAAAACUAGAAACUUACAAAAAAAUAUAAACUUUAAAUUAAUAAAAUUAUAAAAUAAUAUUUUAAAUACGAAUCUUUUACGAAUUUUAUAUUUUCUUUUACAUUAUUUAUAUUUUUUUUACUAUUUUUAUGAUUUUUAUAAAGUUUUAUAGUUUUUGAUUUUUACAUUUUUCUUGAUUUUUAAUAAAUUUUUAAUAUUGUUAUAUUUUUAAUAAUUUUUUUGUUAACAAUGAUUAUGACACAUCAUGACUUUAACUGAAAAAUUAGAAACAAGUAACUGUUAAAAUUAAUGGUCAAAAAAUUUUUUGAUGCAUUUUAAUAAUUUAAGUACACAAUUAAGUGUAAAAAAACUUUUUUGAUGCAUUUUAAUAAUUUAAGUACGUACUUGAGUGAAAAAAAUUAAUGGGUUUUUUUAAAUAAUAAAAUUUGAUUUGAUACAUUUUAAAAAUUUAAAUAUUCAAUUGAACAAAGAAAACGAGACUUAAUAUUUGCUUUAAAAAAUUUACACUUUUAAGCUUUAAUACAAUGAUAAUUUAAAAUUUUUAAAAAUUGAUAUAGCAACAACUUUAAAAUUUAAUAUUUACUCGUUGUGUCAAUUUAAUAAUAAUUUAAAAAUCUUUAACAAUUACAUAAACAUAUUCUUCCAAAAUCGUUAAUCCUUUCGGAGCCGUUCCUGACAAUGUUGUUUUCUGUUAUGGUUAAACUCGAGUAGAUGAUGGAAGGACAAGUACCUCGAUAACCCAAAUUCUAAAUGUGGUAGGAUUGCCUUCUGUAAUGAUCAAGGCUGGUAAGCCCAUCGGUCCACACGGUUGUCCACGUACCAGUAGAAGAUUCAGCGGCUACCGUGGCACUUACUUCCUCAGGCGGAACUUUGAGUUGAGGAGUUACUUGGAAAGCUGCCAAGAUAUCAAUAUCUUUGACUUUAUAUUCAGGAGUAUAAUAAGUCAAUUUAUACUCGUUAAUAUAAAUUCCUUACUUUUUUUAUCUAAAUUUUAAAUGCAAAUAAAAUAAAUGAAAUAGAAAUGGAUAAAUAAUAUAAAAAUGAUAUUAAUAUAAUAUCCUAAUAUAUUAUAAAUAAAAUAUAUAAAUAAAUUCCAAUACUAAUAUAAUAUAUAUUACAAUAUAUAAUGACAAAAAAUUAAUAACCGGAUAACUACUAGAAUAGUUUACCCUUUUUAAUAUAGGUAAACUAUAUAACAAUGGUCACCCAACUAUUCUCGUGUUCCUAUUUUGGUCACCUAAAUUAAAAAAUUUUCAAUUUAGACACUAAUAUUUAAAUUUGUUCAUGUUCUGAUUAUCCACCAUUAAAUUGAUAACGGAAAGCUUUUUUUUCUAUGGGUAUAAUAACAAAAUUAGUCACCAAUACUUACAUACUCUAUCAAUUUGAUCCUCAAUCUUCCCAACCAAAAUUUUUAGCUUUUAAAGUAUUCUACAUCUAUAAAUAUAUUAUUAAUUUAUAAAUUUGUAAAACCCAAAAAAGAAAAAAAAAUUAUCUCAUGUACAAAUUAGUAAUAUAAUUUAAAUAACUCUUAAAUCACCUCUAUUUUUUUUUUAAAAAUUUUACAACUAAAUUAGAUAAUAAACUAUUUUGAUAUAUUUUUUAAUCUUUCAUGAGUGUGCUAAAAAUGAAAAAAAAAUGAAAAUUCAUAAGUAUAUUUAAAGAAAGAUACAUGAGCAUGAACAAAUUUACAAAAUCACUACAAAUUUACUAAAUAUAAAUAUAUUAUUAAUUUAUAAUUGAGAUUUUUUUUUAAGUUUUACAAAUUUAUAGCCUUGAAAUAAAAUUGAUAAAAUUUAUAAAUCCAAAGGAAUAAAUUUAUAAAAUAUUAAGAAUUAGAAUAAAUGAAAACUAAAUGUAUUAUUAUGUCGAUUAAAAAAAGUUUCUAUUAUCAAUUUUGAUGAUCAAAAUAGAAAAUAGGCAUAGUUGAAUCACUAUUUGUAUAGUUUACUCUUUUUAUAUAUUAGCCAUUAAUUUUCCAUUUACUGCGGAAAACCCCAUCAUUGCACCAGUUAUGAAAAAGCACAUCAGAAGAGAAAUUAAGCGCAUAAUCAACCAUUGAUGGUUCCUCCUAAUAAUAAUAAAAAAUGAUCUUUAUCACUAACAAUUUAGCUACCAAUAUAAACCAUCAGAGGACUGAAACAAUGAUUUUGUUGCAUGUAUACAUUUCUGCCCAAUAAUCCCCCAAAAUCUUUGAUCAUAUCUUUAAAAAUGUGUAUAAACAGGGUCAAACUGAACUUAUGUUUUUGUAAUAAACUGCAUAUUUAAAAAAAAAAAAAAGAAUCCAUAAACAGCAUAAAUUCAUCUUCUCCAAAGAUGAAAAUCAAUGAUCAUGUAUGCUGAGAUUCAAUCCUCACGAGAACCACUGCUACUAGCAGAACCUUUCUUACCGGAAUAUUUCUGUAAGAAAAAAAAAUUGUUAAGAUUUCCUGGUUGGCCACGAGUAUAAACUAAAGGCGAACCCGUUUUCCGAUGCUGAAUGGGAUAUACUUGUAUUUGAUCAUAUGUCCGAUUAGACGCCUCAUUGUAAUAACGAAGAGAACGAUCCCAUAACAAAGUAGUAUAGGCCAAAAGACGGGAGCAUCGAAUACAGAGAAGAAAGUCAUGACAAAUGCUAUGCAGAAAGCCUUGGUCAUGGAGUACCUGCAAGACAACGAACUUCUGAGAUCAAGAAACAGCCCCGCAAGUUUAAUAGUUUAUCUAAAUAAGUCCUUAUUCUAUACUUAUAAAGAAACAGUGAAAUGCAUGAAAUCAGAAUAAUCGACAAUGACGAGGUAAUUAAUGAUGAAAUUGACAGAUAAAGAGCAAAUAUGCUUUCAAUCAUAUUCUUCUAGAUUUCCAAAAUCAGAAACUUGCAGCAGAACACUGUCGCCUGUGCUCGUAAAUUGUAAUGCAAGAUCAUUUCGUCUCAUAUUCAGCAAGUAUGCUAAAAAAC